AAUAUUAAAAGCGACACAAUUCUUAACAAGAAGCAACACAAUUCUUUGACAUUAUUAAAAACUUUAUAAUUCAACAUAAUAUAUAAACCAAAAUACAUAAUCUCAUCCAACAGCUAUACAUAAUACAUAAUCUCAUCCAACAUCUAUAUAUAAUACAUAAUCUCAUCCAUUAUAUAUACAUAAUACAUAAUCUCAUCCAACAUCUAUAUAUAAUACAUAAUCUCAUCCAUUAUAUAUACAUAAUACAUAAUCUCAUCCAACAUCUACACAUAAUCUCGUUCCCUCCAAGCUCGUGACUUGCAUUCGAGAAAUAAUUGUUUGGAGAUAAGUCAUUCGGAUUAUUGACAUAUGCAACCUAUGCAGUAUUAAGCAAUAUAAAAUUCAAUUAGCAAAUUAGUCAACAAGUUAAACCAAAAAUUCAAUUAGCAAAUUAGUCAACAAGUUAAACCAAAUCAAUAAUUAGCAAAUUAGUAAAAAAAGAAAAAAAGCUUCAAUGUGGUGAAAAAAACUGAAACUUAUGACUUAAAACCUUAGGAUUUACAAAUAUUUCAUAUUUUACCUGCAAAAGUUGUGCUUUCACUUCUUUUGAGUACAAAAUCUGAGAGAGAAAAAAGUUAGGCUAUGAGUUCUACUGUAAAAUUAACAAAUAGAGUAAGAGGCACCAACUUGAAAGCCAAUAAGAAUAUCUAAGUAUUAUUUUCAUUUGAAGAAUUAUAAGUAAAGCAUAAUUCCAAGUAAAUCAACAAUAUUAGCACCUGAAUGAAUCUCAAUAAUAUUCCAUUCAGGUAAUUCAUGGCCUUACUAGUUUCAACAGCCUCUGCUUCAUUGGCCUUCCAAUGUUUAGCUAUGUUGUCCGACAAUGGGUCAUCCAGAUUUGGCGCACUGAGAAGUGCUUGAAUACUAGAAAAUAAUAUAAACACAACGAGAACAAUUUCUUACAUAAUAAAGAAAGAUAGAUAUUAUUUAGAAUAUCAUGAGAAAGAGUGCUAAAUUCAAGCAAAAUGCAUUCUUUGAAAUGGUUGUUACUAAAUAUAAAAGCACAUCACCACAAAGGAACGAUCAUGCAACCUCAAUAGAACUGUCCUUACCUAGAGGGCAGGACUCCAUUUGUCCUUUAAAAUCUCAAGGCAUAUCCUUC
RNAcentral lists this long non-coding RNA (1138 nucleotides) under Ananas comosus (pineapple). RNAcentral describes it as "long non-coding RNA (ACOM_LNC017468)". The record is from RNAcentral. Lineage: Eukaryota; Viridiplantae; Streptophyta; Magnoliopsida; Poales; Bromeliaceae.